GACGAACGCUGGCGGCGCGCUUAACACAUGCAAGUCGAACGGAAAGGCCUGCUUUCCCUUGUGGAUUGCGGGUACUCGAGUGGCGAACGGGUGAGUAACACGUGAGUGAUCUGCCCCCAACUUGGGUAUAAGCCUGGGAAACUGGGUCUAAUUCCCGAUAGGACUGCAGGGUGGUGCCUGUGGUGGAAAACGAUUUUCUAGUGGUUGGGGAUGAGCUCGCGGCCUAUCAGCUUGUUGGUGGGGUAAUGGCCUACCAAGGCGGCGACGGGUAGCCGGCCUGAGAGGGUGGACGGCCACAUUGGGACUGAGAUACGGCCCAGACUCCUACGGGAGGCGGCAGUGGGGAAUAUUGCACAAUGGGCGGAAGCCUGAUGCAGCGACGCCGCGUGGGGGAUGGCGGCCUUCGGGUUGUAAACUCCUUUCGACCGCGAGGAAGCCACCUGGUUGGAAGGGUGGUGACGGUAGUGGUAGAAGAAGCACCGGCUAACUACGUG
This 494-nucleotide ribosomal RNA is filed under the name uncultured bacterium. Its description in RNAcentral is "partial 16S ribosomal RNA". It matches the Rfam family "Bacterial small subunit ribosomal RNA", at positions 28 to 507 of the family's 1533-position model. The record is from RNAcentral.